This 428-nucleotide ribosomal RNA is filed under the name Pseudomonadota bacterium. Its description in RNAcentral is "Proteobacteria bacterium partial 16S ribosomal RNA". It matches the Rfam family "Bacterial small subunit ribosomal RNA", at positions 355 to 774 of the family's 1533-position model. RNAcentral also lists the same sequence under 1 other name. The record is from RNAcentral. Lineage: Bacteria; Pseudomonadati; Pseudomonadota.
UGGGGAAUAUUGGACAAUGGGGGGAACCCUGAUCCAGCCAUGCCGCGUGUGUGAAGAAGGCCUUAUGGUUGUAAAGCACUUUAAGCGAGGAGGAGGGUACUGGUAUUAAUACUACCAGCUACUGGACGUUACUCGCAGAAUAAGCACCGGCUAACUCUGUGCCAGCAGCCGCGGUAAUACAGAGGGUGCGAGCGUUAAUCGGAUUUACUGGGCGUAAAGCGUGCGUAGGCGGCUAAUUGAGUCGGAUGUGAAAUCCCCGAGCUUAACUUGGGAAUUGCAUUCGAUACUGGUUAGCUAGAGUGUGGGAGAGGAUGGUAGAAUUCCAGGUGUAGCGGUGAAAUGCGUAGAGAUCUGGAGGAAUACCGAUGGCGAAGGCAGCCAUCUGGCCUAACACUGACGCUGAGGUACGAAAGCAUGGGGAGCAAACA